UUUAUCGGGCUGAGGGCAUAAAAAGAGAAGAAGUCAAAAUCUUCUUCAGGCAAGACCAGUUUCACAAAAUAAAAAAGGGGAGUGGGGAAGAGGAGGUGGGAACACUGAGUGGGUACAGAGAGGAAUGAGGAAGACCCUCUUCAGCCUGGGGAAAAUCACCUGGACUUAAUGUGUGUGUAAGACAAGCCAAGAACGCUAGACCCUUUGUUAUUUCCAAAGAGAUGAUCAGUCUAGCUCUGAUCUUGCUGACUCUUGAGUCUCCUGCCCUGGGAGGGUUUGAGGUCACCAGGCUGCCUUCUCUGGGUAUUUGCAGGACACAGUCACAGAGCAGAGACUAGAAUGGGAGGUGGCGAAAUCACUGCAAAUCCAAGUUCUGCCUCGGAAAUUAAGCUGUUUCGGG
RNAcentral lists this long non-coding RNA (400 nucleotides) under Bos taurus (domestic cattle). RNAcentral's name for it is "long non-coding RNA NONBTAT008202". Lineage: Eukaryota; Metazoa; Chordata; Mammalia; Artiodactyla; Bovidae. The record is from RNAcentral.